CAUUCACGGAGAGUUUGAUCCUGGCUCAGGACGAACGCUGGCGGCGUGCUUAACACAUGCAAGUCGAACGAUGAAGCCCUUCGGGGUGGAUUAGUGGCGAACGGGUGAGUAACACGUGGGCAAUCUGCCCUGCACUCUGGGACAAGCCCUGGAAACGGGGUCUAAUACCGGAUAUGACCAUCUUGGGCAUCCUUGAUGGUGUAAAGCUCCGGCGGU
RNAcentral lists this ribosomal RNA (216 nucleotides) under Streptomyces sp. SID4946. RNAcentral describes it as "partial 16S ribosomal RNA". It matches the Rfam family "Bacterial small subunit ribosomal RNA", at positions 1 to 219 of the family's 1533-position model. Lineage: Bacteria; Bacillati; Actinomycetota; Actinomycetes; Kitasatosporales; Streptomycetaceae. The record is from RNAcentral.